AGAAUUAAAUUUGGACCGUAUAAC
RNAcentral lists this microRNA (24 nucleotides) under Glycine max (soybean). Its description in RNAcentral is "gma-miR9745". The record is from miRBase by way of RNAcentral. Lineage: Eukaryota; Viridiplantae; Streptophyta; Magnoliopsida; Fabales; Fabaceae.